Molecule: ribosomal RNA, 402 nt
Filed under: uncultured bacterium
Lineage: Bacteria
Description: bacterial SSU rRNA
Rfam family: Bacterial small subunit ribosomal RNA
Source: RNAcentral
UGGGGAAUAUUGCACAAUGGGCGAAAGCCUGAUGCAGCAACGCCGCGUGAGUGAUGAAGGCCUUCGGGUUGUAAAGCUCUGCCUUCUGGGACGAUAAUGACGGUACCAGAGGAGGAAGCCACGGCUAACUACGUGCCAGCAGCCGCGGUAAUACGUAGGUGGCAAGCGUUGUCCGGAUUUACUGGGCGUAAAGGAUGCGUAGGCGGAUACUUAAGUCAGAUGUGAAAAUCCCGGGCUUAACUUGGGAACUGCAUUUGAAACUGGGUAUCUAGAGUGCGGGAGAGGAAAGUUGAAUUCCUAGUGUAGCGGUGAAAUGCGUAGAGAUUAGGAAGAACACCAGUGGCGAAGGCGACUUUCUGGACCGUAACUGACGCUGAGGCAUGAAAGCGUGGGGAGCAAACA